Xyrauchen texanus (razorback sucker) is the source of this 102-nucleotide small nuclear RNA. The record is from RefSeq and is a predicted model, not a curated record. Lineage: Eukaryota; Metazoa; Chordata; Actinopteri; Cypriniformes; Catostomidae.
CAACACCAUGAAAGGAAAGUAGGUUAGCACUCCCCUUGACAAGGAGAGAAGCGGACCUGCUGACCUGUAGCACACACCAACACACACAAUGGAUCCUAUUUU